GGAAGUAAAAGUCGUAACAAGCCUUCCGUAGGGGAACCUGCGGAGGGAUCAUUACACAAAUUAAAAUAUGAAGGCUUCGGCUGGAUUAUUUUUAUCACCCUUGUCUUUUGCGCACUUGUUGUUUCCUGGGCGGGUUCGCCCGCCACCAGGACCACACCAUAAACCUUUUUUAUGCAGUUGCAAUCAGCGUCAGUAUAACAAAUGUAAAUCAUUUACAACUUUCAACAACGGAUCUCUUGGUUCUGGCAUCGAUGAAGAACGCAGCGAAAUGCGAUACGUAGUGUGAAUUGCAGAAUUCAGUGAAUCAUCGAAUCUUUGAACGCACAUUGCGCCCUUUGGUAUUCCAAAGGGCAUGCCUGUUCGAGCGUCAUUUGUACCCUCAAGCUUUGCUUGGUGUUGGGCGUCUUUUGUCUUUGGCCUCGCCCAAAGACUCGCCUUAAAACGAUUGGCAGCCGGCCUACUGGUUUCGCAGCGCAGCACAUUUUUGCGCUUGCAAUCAGCAAAAAGGACGGCAAUCCAUCAAGACUACAUUUUUACGUUUGACCUCGGAUCAGGUAGGGAUACCCGCUGAACUUAAGCAUAUCAA
RNAcentral lists this ribosomal RNA (586 nucleotides) under Curvularia aeria. RNAcentral describes it as "eukaryotic LSU rRNA". The stretch from base 217 to 370 matches the Rfam family "5.8S ribosomal RNA". The record is from RNAcentral. Lineage: Eukaryota; Fungi; Ascomycota; Dothideomycetes; Pleosporales; Pleosporaceae.